This 82-nucleotide microRNA precursor is filed under the name Saimiri boliviensis boliviensis (Bolivian squirrel monkey). RNAcentral describes it as "miRNA (ENSSBOG00000002314.1)". Lineage: Eukaryota; Metazoa; Chordata; Mammalia; Primates; Cebidae. The record is from RNAcentral.
AUUCAGGUCAGUGCAAAAGUGAUUGCGGUUUUUGCCAUUGAAAGUAAUGGCAAAAACCGCAAUCACUUUUGCACCGACCUAA